GUUUCGCCUCCAUCGUCGCCCUUGCAGAGACUUCCCGACACGCGCACUCGCUGUCUCUCUGAGGAGAGACAAUGGCGUCGUCAUCGGGUUCAGGCGAGGUCGCGACGGAGGGAAGAGGAACACCGGGUGCUCGGUUCGAGGAAGAUGUUCAGACUUACCUCGCUCAGCCAGGCCUCACCGUCAACUCUGCUCUCGCCUUUCUCCAAGAGCGGAUUUAUGAAAGUGAUGGACA
Long non-coding RNA from Rhodamnia argentea, 232 nucleotides. RefSeq lists it as uncharacterized. The record is from RefSeq and is a predicted model, not a curated record. The transcript is spliced from 4 exons. NCBI's taxonomy places the organism in Eukaryota, Viridiplantae, Streptophyta, Magnoliopsida, Myrtales, Myrtaceae.